UACGGGGGGGGCAAGCGUUGUUCGGAAUUACUGGGCGUAAAGGGCUCGUAGGCGGCCAACUAAGUCAUACGUGAAAUCCCCCGGCUUAACCGGGGAACUGCGUCUGAUACUGGAUGGCUUGAGUUCGGGAGAGGGAUGCGGAAUUCCAGGUGUAGCGGUGAAAUGCGUAGAUAUUCGGAAGAACACCAGUGGCGAAGGCGGCUCACUGGACCGGUAUUGACGCUGAGGUGCGAAAGCGUGGGGAGCAAACAGG
This 253-nucleotide ribosomal RNA is filed under the name uncultured bacterium. Its description in RNAcentral is "partial 16S ribosomal RNA". It matches the Rfam family "Bacterial small subunit ribosomal RNA", at positions 524 to 776 of the family's 1533-position model. The record is from RNAcentral.